GUCUGGAGGUCUAGUAUCAUGGUUGUAGGAUAGGGGCUCCUAGAGUUUUUCGUACUCCUCACCUGGGGUUGGGUGAGGGUCGGCGGAGGAAAGUAUGGAGGUCUAGUAUCAGGGUUGUGGGAUAGGGACCCCUAGAGUUUUUCAUACUCCUCACCCGGGGUUGGGUGAGGCUUGGCAGGGCUAUUCAUAGAUGAUUUGUGUAUUGGAUUUUGUCUUAUGCUAGUUAAUGUCUGAUAUUAUUGCAUGCUA
This 249-nucleotide long non-coding RNA is filed under the name Nicotiana benthamiana. Its description in RNAcentral is "long non-coding RNA (NBEN_LNC029753)". The record is from RNAcentral. Lineage: Eukaryota; Viridiplantae; Streptophyta; Magnoliopsida; Solanales; Solanaceae.